This 1026-nucleotide long non-coding RNA is filed under the name Felis catus (domestic cat). Its description in RNAcentral is "lncRNA (ENSFCAG00000051159.1)". Lineage: Eukaryota; Metazoa; Chordata; Mammalia; Carnivora; Felidae. The record is from RNAcentral.
CGAGGGGCUUGUAGUCUCUGGAACGGCUGCUCACCUGUCUCCAGCCAGCAGGACAGGCCUGUGGGCUGGGGAGUCUGCCUGGAAGGAGCUUGGGGGCCACCCUUUGUGGCCUGGGAGCUCAAGGAGGACACCACCGCAGGGCUGUGGUUUAGGUGGAGGGAGAGGACACGUGGGCCGGAGGGGCUUCCGGAUAGUAUCGGGUGGGUGGUUUUAGGUGGUUGGGGAGCUGCUGGGCGGUGCCAGGGCUGCCUGAGGGCGGCUGGGACAACUGAGGUCCCGUGGGGGGCCGAGCUGGUGUGCCGUCCCUUGAGUGUGAGCUCUCGGGGAGCAGGUGCAAGCAGCACGUGGUGGUGGGGUGCCGCUGCGGCGUCCUUGCGGGCGCGCGUGAGCCGUGCACCAGAUUCCACCUGCAGCCCAGAAACCCCUCUCUCUCCUGCAGCCGGUGCCCUCCCUGGAGCUGGAGGCGUUGCGCCUGAGUCUCAGCAACAUGCACACGGCGCAGCUGGAGCUGACGCAGGCCAACCUCCAGAAGGAGAAGGAGACGGCGCUGACGGAGCUGCGGGCCAUGCUCAACGGCCGGCAUGCCCAGGAGCUGGCCCUGCUGCGGAGCAGACAGCAGCAGGAGCUGGGGCUUGUGCGGGAGCAGCACGCGAGGGAGCAGGAGGCGGCGGCGCUGCGGUACAGCCGCGAGACCGGUACGGGUGGGCAGGUGUGCGGGGGCUUCACCGCCACUCGUCUGCUUCGGUGGGGGGGGGGGGGGAUGUGGGUGACCCUGUAGGAGUGUCUCCCGGGGGUAGUGUUGACAUGCGAAGUGCGGGGCGCGCUGGCCGCCGUCCACCUCCUGGGUGGGGUCGCGUGCAUCCUGCUUUGUGGGGACCCUGUUGUCCUCUCACCUUGCAUCCGCUUCUCCCGUGGGCUCGUGGCAGGUUUGGAAGCCACGCUGUUGGAGGUGACCUGCUCAUGUGCCGGAAGUGUCCGUGUCCACCUCUCAUGGGACUGUGUCUGUGGCUGAGCUUUGUCGACUGA